GAAGUGCGAUAAGCAAUGCGAAUUGCAGAAUUCCGCGAGUCAUCAGAUCUUUGAACGCAAAUGGCGCCGGAGGGAUAUCCUUCUGGCAUGUCUGUUUCAGUGUCUGAGAGGUUUCACCAACAUCUUAAUGUGAUUGACAGCAGCAGCAGCAGCAAGCAAUUGUUGUGGUUGGUGUUGUCUCUCAUGAAAGAUGCGCGAGUGGAUCUUUCGGUCCAAUGAAGUGGUCACAUCACUCGUAUGUGAUUUCAUUGGGAGCACCGAAUUAUCCGCCAUGCUCGCGGUGUCAUCAUAUAAUAUAUGACGAAAGCAAGAAAGAAAGAAAGAGUUUCUUUCUUCUUCUUCUUCUUCUUUGGUUGUAUUUUUUUUCUCUCUCUACACCCUGCAUCUGAGAUAGGCAAGAUCACCCGCUGAACUUAAGC
This 419-nucleotide unclassified non-coding RNA is filed under the name plant metagenome. RNAcentral's name for it is "partial contains 5.8S ribosomal RNA, internal transcribed spacer 2, and large subunit ribosomal RNA". The stretch from base 1 to 105 matches the Rfam family "5.8S ribosomal RNA", at positions 50 to 154 of the family's 154-position model. The record is from RNAcentral.